RNAcentral lists this ribosomal RNA (301 nucleotides) under uncultured bacterium. Its description in RNAcentral is "partial 16S ribosomal RNA". It matches the Rfam family "Bacterial small subunit ribosomal RNA", at positions 509 to 807 of the family's 1533-position model. The record is from RNAcentral.
CAGCCGCCGCGGGAAUACGGAGGGAGCUAGCGUUGUUCGGAAUUACUGGGCGUAAAGGGCUCGCAGGCGGUUUCUUAAGUCUGAUGUGGAAGCCCCCGGCUCAACCGGGGAGGGUCAUUGGAAACUGGGAAACUUGAGUGCAGAAGAGGAGAGUGGAAUUCCACGUGUAGCGGUGAAAUGCGUAGAGAUGUGGAGGAACACCAGUGGCGAAGGCGACUCUCUGGUCUGUAACUGACGCUGAGGAGCGAAAGCGUGGGGAGCGAACAGGAUUAGAUACCCCGGUAGUCCCUGUCUCUUAUAC